GAUGAACGCUGGCGGCGUGCCUAAUACAUGCAAGUCGAGCGAACGGACGAGAAGCUUGCUUCUCUGAUGUUAGCGGCGGACGGGUGAGUAACACGUGGAUAACCUACCUAUAAGACUGGGAUAACUUCGGGAAACCGGAGCUAAUACCGGAUAAUAUUUUGAACCGCAUGGUUCAAAAGUGAAAGACGGUCUUGCUGUCACUUAUAGAUGGAUCCGCGCUGCAUUAGCUAGUUGGUAAGGUAACGGCUUACCAAGGCAACGAUGCAUAGCCGACCUGAGAGGGGGACCGCACACACUGAAACGGAACCAGGUUCCGCACUCCAAGGGGGGGCGGCGGUGGGGACUCUUCCGCAAGGGGCGAAAGCCGGAGGGAGCAACGCGGCGUGAGUGAUGAAGGUCUUGGGAUCGAAAAACUCUGUUAUGAGGAAAAAAAAUAUGGAUAAGUACCUGUGAACAUCUGGGGGUUACCUAAUCAGAAGCCCAGGGCUAACUCGGUC
RNAcentral lists this ribosomal RNA (497 nucleotides) under uncultured bacterium. RNAcentral's name for it is "partial 16S ribosomal RNA". It matches the Rfam family "Bacterial small subunit ribosomal RNA", at positions 28 to 507 of the family's 1533-position model. The record is from RNAcentral.